RNAcentral lists this long non-coding RNA (991 nucleotides) under Eucalyptus grandis. RNAcentral's name for it is "long non-coding RNA (EGRA_LNC003676)". The record is from RNAcentral. Lineage: Eukaryota; Viridiplantae; Streptophyta; Magnoliopsida; Myrtales; Myrtaceae.
UUGGCUUCUCCCGCACGACUCCUCCUUCACGGUGCCGCUUCACUCUCAUUUAUCUCUCUCAACUGUUGCCCUUCUUUUCUUCUAUUUUUGUUUCUUCCGAAGUCGUUCAUCCCCUCCAUCGAAACAAAUUCUGUUCAGCCCCUGCCACACGCCCAUUUCCCCAUUGAUUUCUCUCGGCCACUUGCCGAAGUCAACUCCACCAUCCCACCUUCAUCAGUUCUUCUCCAAUUUCAUGCCAGCGAAGACCUUCACCUCUUGUUCUUCGGUCAAUCUUCAACCGAAGUCUUCAAGCGACGCCACCUGGUUGACUCCGCAAGCUGCGCGCCUGCCCCCACCUUCUUCGUGUCCUUACUUGGACGGCACGAGGUCAAAGCUUUCAACCGAAGGCCCAUCAUAGAAUCAUCUCCUGCAACAACGAUUGGACGCCAGUUGCCCGUUCUCUCCCGUGCCAGCUCGCGACUGCUUCAUCCAUCUUGCAGCGUGAAAGUCCACCGAAGUUGCUGCCACGAGUCCGACACCGCAGCUACUUCUCAUACGCUAGUCCCCUCCGAUUGAAGCCGCGGCCCGCGAAUUCUUCAGCCCGUUCGUCUCAUUCAACGGGCGCCAGUCCACGGCUUCUCCCUUUCAACAGCAAUUCGGUCCAGCAUCUCCAGCGAAGCCCAGCCCAAUUCGUGAAACUCAGCUCUUGAAGCCCAGCCACAGCAGGCCCAAUUUAGUAGUCCAGUCCAACUUUGAAGCCCAACAAGUUGUCUUCUUCAGCAGUUUUCAGCCCAUCCUUAGUUAAUUGAAGCCCAAGCUUAGGCCCAAGUUCAGUUAGUUCUAGCCCAGUUGAAGUUCAGCCAUUUUGGGCCCGUGAAGAAAGCCCAAGCCCGCGACCAGCAUCCCUGCAAAAGCCCAAGACCGAAACUCAGCCUUGCUGAGUUGUGUUGGCCCGUUUUAGGCCCGGUCUGAGAGUUCGCCGACACCGCCGAAAAUUAAGAUUUCGGCCGCC